GUGGGAGCGGGCGGGCGGCGUUUGCACGGUGCGGAGUGAUUAGUGGGUUUGAACCGCCGGCCCCGGCUCCGCCGCAUUUCCCGCUCGGGUCCGGGCGCAGGGAGGAAGUGUUUUGCUGGAAGAUGAUGACAGAGGUCAGGCUUCACUAAUGGGCCAGUGAAGAGCAGUGGAGGCGAGGCAGAGACCAAGGCACACACACAUUAAUACACUUGAACCAUCACCAAUCAGCAUAGGAAUUCAAGAUCACACAACCAGCACCUUCAGUGGAGAAAAACUAUUUUGCUGGCAACUCUUUUUAAAGCACCAUCAUUUCAAACCAGUGCGCUUUUAAACUAUUGACAGGAGCUUUGACAACAAGACAGGAUGCCUCAUAAAGAGGGAAGACUUUAACUAGUGACACGCAGAUGUGCGAGUCCCUAAAUUGUAUGAGAGGACAGUCCACCCCGCUUUCAG
Serinus canaria (Common canary) is the source of this 453-nucleotide long non-coding RNA. RefSeq lists it as uncharacterized. Lineage: Eukaryota; Metazoa; Chordata; Aves; Passeriformes; Fringillidae. The record is from RefSeq and is a predicted model, not a curated record. The transcript has 3 exons.